Molecule: ribosomal RNA, 253 nt
Filed under: uncultured bacterium
Lineage: Bacteria
Description: partial 16S ribosomal RNA
Rfam family: Bacterial small subunit ribosomal RNA
Source: RNAcentral
GACGGAGGAUGCAAGUGUUAUCCGGAAUCACUGGGCGUAAAGAGCGCGCAGGCGGUCGUUCAAGUCGCGUGUGAAAGCCCCCGGCUCAACUGGGGAGGGUCACGCGAUACUGAUCGACUCGAAGGCAGGAGAGGGAAGUGGAAUUCCCGGUGUAGUGGUGAAAUGCGUAGAUAUCGGGAGGAACACCAGUGGCGAAGGCGACUUCCUGGCCUGUUCUUGACGCUGAGGCGCGAAAGCUAGGGGAGCAAACGGG